CCUACGGGCGGCUGCAGUGGGGAAUAUUGGACAAUGGGGGCAACCCUGAUCCAGCCAUGCCGCGUGUGUGAAGAAGGCCCUCGGGUUGUAAAGCACUUUCAGUGAGGAAGAACGCCUGGUGGUUAAUACCCAUCAGGAAAGACAUCACUCACAGAAGAAGCACCGGCUAACUCCGUGCCAGCAGCCGCGGUAAUACGGAGGGUGCGAGCGUUAAUCGGAAUUACUGGGCGUAAAGCGCGCGUAGGUGGCUUGAUAAGCCGGUUGUGAAAGCCCCGGGCUCAACCUGGGAACGGCAUCCGGAACUGUCAAGCUAGAGUGCAGGAGAGGAAGGUAGAAUUCCCGGUGUAGCGGUGAAAUGCGUAGAGAUCGGGAGGAAUACCAGUGGCGAAGGCGGCCUUCUGGACUGACACUGACGCUGAGGUGCGAAAGCGUGGGUAGCAAACAGGAUUAGAUACCCGAGUAGUC
Molecule: ribosomal RNA, 465 nt
Filed under: Vreelandella stevensii
Lineage: Bacteria; Pseudomonadati; Pseudomonadota; Gammaproteobacteria; Oceanospirillales; Halomonadaceae
Description: partial 16S ribosomal RNA
Rfam family: Bacterial small subunit ribosomal RNA
Source: RNAcentral